UUGAUUUCGGGCAGUCUGGUAUUUAAUUAACGUUAGCCAUUUACGUCAGUGGUGGGCAAUUGCAUUCCUGCAUUACCAUAUGGCCUCGAAUUCGAAGGCUCAGUCCAGUGGCGAAAGGUUACAUGCCUUUUAAGUGCGGCGAAUGAUUUUGCAGCUCUGGCAUCAGCACAUGACCCUACCCAUCACUAUACACUGAUGAGUGUGCAAGUUGAUAUAUAAAUGACUGCUGCAAGUGAUUCUCCUUUUCUGACAACCCCAACAGCCUUUACAGCAUGUAUGCAUAGCUGCUCUGAAACAUUUGAGUCUUUAUAAAUCAAAAUGCUGGUGCUGUAAGACAACUGUCCUGCCAAAAUGGAUGCACAUUAAAAUGCACAAAUCUGCAUACAAUGCAGACUGUGCAUACACCUUGGUAGAGUGUCAGAGCAUUUUAGAGAAUUUAAAUAAAAGAACAUCAUUAAAGAA
This is a long non-coding RNA of Anguilla rostrata (American eel), 462 nucleotides long. RefSeq lists it as uncharacterized. The record is from RefSeq and is a predicted model, not a curated record. NCBI's taxonomy places the organism in Eukaryota, Metazoa, Chordata, Actinopteri, Anguilliformes, Anguillidae. The transcript has 2 exons.